AGAGUUUGAUCCUGGCUCAGAUUGAACGCUGGCGGCAUGCUUUACACAUGCAAGUCGAACGGCAGCACGGGUGCUUGCACCUGGUGGCGAGUGGCGAACGGGUGAGUAAUAUAUCGGAACGUACCCGGGAAUGGGGGAUAACGUAACGAAAGUUACGCUAAUACCGCAUAUGCCCUGAGGGGGAAAGUGGGGGACCGUAAGGCCUCACGUUGUCGGAGCGACCGAUAUCAAAUUAGCUAGUUGGUGGGGUAAAGGCCCACCAAAGCAACGAUCUGUGGCUGGUCUGAAAGGACGACCAGCCACACUGGGACUGAGACACGGCCCACACUCCUACGGGAGGCAGCAGUGGGGAAUUUUGGACAAUGGGGGCAACCCUGAUCCAUCCAUGCCGCGUGAGUGAAGAAGGCCUUCUGGUUGUAAAGCUCUUUCGGACAGAAAGAAAUCUCACUUGAUAAUACCUUGUGUGGAUGACGGUACUGAAAGAAGAACCACCGGCUAACUACCUGCCACCAGCCGCGGUAAUACGUAGGGUGCGAGCGUUAAUCGUAAUUACUGGGCGUAAAGCGUGCGCAGGCGGUUUUGAAAGACAUACGUUAAAUCCCCGGGCUUAACCUGUGAACUGCGUUUGUGACUGCAAGGCUAGAGUGCGACAGAGGGGGGUAGAAUUCCACGUGUAUCAAUGAAAUGCGUAUAGAUGUGGAGGAAUACCGAUGGCGAAGCACCCCCCUGUGUCGACACUGACGCUCAUGCACGAAAGCGUGGGAGCAAACAUGAAUACAUACCCUGUUAGUCCACGCCCU
This 800-nucleotide ribosomal RNA is filed under the name uncultured bacterium. RNAcentral's name for it is "bacterial SSU rRNA". It matches the Rfam family "Bacterial small subunit ribosomal RNA", at positions 8 to 803 of the family's 1533-position model. The record is from RNAcentral.